UUUAACAAAACAAACACCCAGCCAUUUGAAAUAUCUAGUGAAGACUGCUAGUUAGUUCUUUUCACGUUUGAAUGAGCUUUUCUCAUGUGUGCCUCAGUUUGACUCAAGUUUCUCAAUCUGUUUUUCUUUUUUUCUUUUUAACAUUCCUGGCGUUAUGUCAAUAGAACACUAUAAAACAGCAGUCUUAACACAAUCAGCAGAACAUCUGAGUCACAACUAAGACCCAACCCAGGAAUUUGAAAUGCAAAUAAACCAUUUUUUUCCUGAAUUUUCUAAAUCAGAAGUACAUAGUAAAUACAAUCCAGUAAUACAAAUGGUUAAAGAGACUGGAACUUUAACUUAAGCUUUGUUGUUUUUUUUUUUACAGUGUUGAAUUCAUAAAACACUUUCUGCAUGAUGCUGUUUACUUUCAAUAAUUUGAAAGCUAUCUCUAACCCUUGUGAGUCAGAAGAACAGACUGAAUCAGAAAUGCAAUAACUUUGAUCACAUAACAGCACAAUGAUCAUAUGUUAAGCUUUUUUUCUUUUACUAAUAUUGAAUGCAAACUCCAAGAGAUGGUGAAGGACAAGGAAGCCGGGCACGCUACAGUCCAUGGGGUCUCAAAGAGUCAGACACGACUUAGUGACUGAACAACAAUAACGAGACUAUAAGAUAAAAAUAAAAUACUAAACAAGGCAUCACCCAGAUCACCCAGUCUUCUUAGAGAUUCUU
RNAcentral lists this long non-coding RNA (711 nucleotides) under Bos indicus x Bos taurus (hybrid cattle). RNAcentral's name for it is "lncRNA (ENSBIXG00005029564.1)". Lineage: Eukaryota; Metazoa; Chordata; Mammalia; Artiodactyla; Bovidae. The record is from RNAcentral.